GUGGAUAGUACAGCUUAGAUCUGUCGGGAAUUAAGUUUUGUGAGCGCCUACAUUGGAUUAGUGGAUUACUGUGGAUUAUUGUGUACUUCAUGUAGGAUAAUAAUGGAUACAAAACUAAUUCUUUACUUGGAUAUCUAUUUAUAAAGAUACUUCGUCUCAUGUAUGAAAUACGUAUGUGUUGGGAUUACUUUAUGUGAUGUUACAUACUAACUAAUAGAGGAUUACCCAUUGGUACGACGCCGGCAGUGCAACAUAUCACAGUCUCUAGAAAGGGAGGGAAGAAACUGGAAUCGACAAACUCCACCGGAACUCUUCCACUUAGAACAUCCGGCGCCUGUGGCGGCACCGGCCCAGGAAACCGGCAAUAUCGUGAUGCAAUCAUAGCCGCUCUCUGCCGGCACUCCGACCCCCUACCCCCUUCCCCCACUUUCCGCCAUCUUGGAGCGGCUUAAAAUUUGGAGACCUUCCAGCCUCAGAGAGAAUUAUUUAGCACCGCGGUCUGGUUUAAGUCAUGGCAGUUUUAGAAUUAUAAAUAGUGCUUUCUGACAUGUGCUAAAUAAAUAGUGCUGUCUCAUUUUGUCAUGUGCUUAAUAAACAGUGCUGUCUCAUUUUUGGCCAAGUGCUUAAUUAAAGCCAAUGCUAAAAC
This is a long non-coding RNA of Physella acuta, 646 nucleotides long. RefSeq lists it as uncharacterized. The record is from RefSeq and is a predicted model, not a curated record. NCBI's taxonomy places the organism in Eukaryota, Metazoa, Mollusca, Gastropoda, Physidae.